GUGUCAGCCGCCGCGGUAAUACGUAGGAUCCAAGCGUUGUCCGGAUUUACUGGGUGUAAAGGGCGUGUAGGUGGAUUUUUAAGUCGGUGGUGAAAUCCUGCAGCUCAACUGCAGAAUUGCCUCCGAUACUGGAAAUCUUGAGUGCGGCAGAGGGAGACGGAAUUCAUGGUGUAGCGGUGAAAUGUGUAGAUAUCAUGAAGAACACCGGUUGCGAAGGCGGUCUCCUGGUCCGUUACUGACACUGAGGCGCGAAAGCGUGGGGAGCAAACAGGAUUAGAAACCCGGGUAGUCC
RNAcentral lists this ribosomal RNA (292 nucleotides) under uncultured bacterium. RNAcentral describes it as "partial 16S ribosomal RNA". It matches the Rfam family "Bacterial small subunit ribosomal RNA", at positions 505 to 796 of the family's 1533-position model. The record is from RNAcentral.